GACGAACGCUGGCGGCGUGCCUAAUACAUGCAAGUAGAACGCUGAAGAGAGGAGCUUGCUCUUCUUGGAUGAGUUGCGAACGGGUGAGUAACGCGUAGGUAACCUGCCUUGUAGCGGGGGAUAACUAUUGGAGACGAUAGCUAAUACCGCAUAACAAUGAAUGACUCAUGUCAUUUAUUUGAAAGGGGCAAUUGCUCCACUACAAGAUGGACCUGCGUUGUAUUAGCUAGUAGGUGAGGUAACGGCUCACCUAGGCGACGAUACAUAGCCGACCUGAGAGGGUGAUCGGCCACACUGGGACUGAGACACGGCCCAGACUCCUACGGGAGGCAGCAGUAGGGAAUCUUCGGCAAUGGGGGCAACCCCGACCGAGCAACGCCGCGUGAGUGAAGAAGGUUUUCGGAUCGUAAAGCUCUGUUGUAAGUCAAGAACGAGUGUGAGAGUGGAAAGUUCACACUGUGACGGUAGCUUACCAGAAAGGGACGGCUAACUACGUGCCAGCAGCCGCGGUAAUACGUAGGUCCCGAGCGUUGUCCGGAUUUAUUGGGCGUAAAGCGAGCGCAGGCGGUUUGAUAAGUCUGAAGUUAAAGGCUGUGGCUCAACCAUAGUUCGCUUUGGAAACUGUCAAACUUGAGUGCAGAAGGGGAGAGUGGAAUUCCAUGUGUAGCGGUGAAAUGCGUAGAUAUAUGGAGGAACACCGGUGGCGAAAGCGGCUCUCUGGUCUGUAACUGACGCUGAGGCUCGAAAGCGUGGGGAGCGAACAGGAUUAGAUACCCUGGUAGUUCACGCCGUAAACGAUGAGUGCUAGGUGUUGGAUCCUUUCCGGGAUUCAGUGCCGCAGCUAACGCAUUAAGCACUC
RNAcentral lists this ribosomal RNA (859 nucleotides) under uncultured Streptococcus sp. RNAcentral's name for it is "bacterial SSU rRNA". It matches the Rfam family "Bacterial small subunit ribosomal RNA", at positions 28 to 869 of the family's 1533-position model. The record is from RNAcentral. Lineage: Bacteria; Bacillati; Bacillota; Bacilli; Lactobacillales; Streptococcaceae.